CCUACGGGAGGCAGCAGUGGGGAAUAUUGGACAAUGGACCACAAGUCUGAUCCAGCAAUUCUGUGUGCACGAUGACGUUUUUCGGAAUGUAAAGUGCUUUCAGUCGGGAAGAAGUCAGUGACGGUACCGACAGAAGAAGCGACGGCUAAAUACGUGCCAGCAGCCGCGGUAAUA
RNAcentral lists this ribosomal RNA (174 nucleotides) under uncultured Fusobacterium sp. RNAcentral describes it as "partial 16S ribosomal RNA". It matches the Rfam family "Bacterial small subunit ribosomal RNA", at positions 338 to 525 of the family's 1533-position model. Lineage: Bacteria; Fusobacteriati; Fusobacteriota; Fusobacteriia; Fusobacteriales; Fusobacteriaceae. The record is from RNAcentral.